RNAcentral lists this ribosomal RNA (308 nucleotides) under uncultured bacterium. Its description in RNAcentral is "partial 16S ribosomal RNA". It matches the Rfam family "Bacterial small subunit ribosomal RNA", at positions 505 to 807 of the family's 1533-position model. The record is from RNAcentral.
GAGACAGCAGUAGCCGCGGUAAUACGGAGGGUGCAAGCGUUAAUCGGAAUUACUGGGCGUAAAGCGCACGCAGGCGGUAUGUCAAGUCAGAUGUGAAAUCCCCGGGCUUAACCUGGGAACUGCAUUUGAAACUGGCAGGCUAGAGUCUUGUAGAGGGGGGUAGAAUUCCAGGUGUAGCGGUGAAAUGCGUAGAGAUCUGGAGGAAUACCGGUGGCGAAGGCGGCCCCCUGGACAAAGACUGACGCUCAGGUGCGAAAGCGUGGGGAGCAAACAGGAUUAGAUACCCGAGUAGUCCCUGUCUCUUAUAC